RNAcentral lists this ribosomal RNA (913 nucleotides) under uncultured beta proteobacterium. RNAcentral's name for it is "bacterial SSU rRNA". It matches the Rfam family "Bacterial small subunit ribosomal RNA", at positions 8 to 916 of the family's 1533-position model. The record is from RNAcentral. Lineage: Bacteria; Pseudomonadati; Pseudomonadota; Betaproteobacteria.
AGAGUUUGAUCCUGGCUCAGAUUGAACGCUGGCGGAAUGCUUUACACAUGCAAGUCGAGCGGCAGCGCGGGGGCAACCCUGGCGGCGAGCGGCGAACGGGUGAGUAACAUAUCGGAACGUGCCCAGGAGUGGGGGAUAACACAUCGAAAGAUGUGCUAAUACCGCAUAAGACCUGAGGGUGAAAGGGGGGGAUCGCAAGACCUCUCGCUGCUGGAGCGGCCGAUAUCGGAUUAGCUAGUUGGUGAGGUAAAGGCUCACCAAGGCGACGAUCCGUAGCUGGUCUGAGAGGACGACCAGCCACACUGGGACUGAGACACGGCCCAGACUCCUACGGGAGGCAGCAGUGGGGAAUUUUGGACAAUGGGGGCAACCCUGAUCCAGCCAUUCCGCGUGAGUGAAGAAGGCCUUCGGGUUGUAAAGCUCUUUCGGCAGGAACGAAACGGUGGGGGCUAAUACCUUUCAUCAAUGACGGUACCUGAAGAAGAAGCACCGGCUAACUACGUGCCAGCAGCCGCGGUAAUACGUAGGGUGCGAGCGUUAAUCGGAAUUACUGGGCGUAAAGCGUGCGCAGGCGGUUUCGUAAGACAGAUGUGAAAUCCCCGGGCUUAACCUGGGAACUGCGUUUGUGACUGCGAGACUCGAGUGUGGCAGAGGGGGGUGGAAUUCCACGUGUAGCAGUGAAAUGCGUGGAGAUGUGGAGGAACACCGAUGGCGAAAGCAGCCCCCUGGGUUAACACUGACGCUCAUGCACGAAAGCGUGGGGAGCAAACAGGAUUAGAUACCCUGGUAGUCCACGCCCUAAACGAUGCGAACUAGUGUUGGAGAAAGAGACUUCUUUAGUACCGUAGCUAACGCGCGAAGUUCGCCGCCUGGAGAGUACGGUCGCAAGAUUAAAACUCAAAGGAAUUGACGG